RNAcentral lists this ribosomal RNA (253 nucleotides) under uncultured bacterium. RNAcentral's name for it is "partial 16S ribosomal RNA". It matches the Rfam family "Bacterial small subunit ribosomal RNA", at positions 524 to 776 of the family's 1533-position model. The record is from RNAcentral.
UACGUAGGGGGCAAGCGUUAUCCGGAUUUACUGGGUGUAAAGGGAGCGUAGACGGCAUAGCAAGUCUGAAGUGAAAGCCCACAGCUCAACUGUGGGACUGCUUUGGAAACUGUUAAGCUGGAGUGCAGGAGAGGUAAGUGGAAUUCCUAGUGUAGCGGUGAAAUGCGUAGAUAUUAGGAGGAACACCAGUGGCGAAGGCGGCUUACUGGACUGUAACUGACGUUGAGGCUCGAAAGCGUGGGGAGCAAACAGG